RNAcentral lists this long non-coding RNA (1227 nucleotides) under Apteryx haastii (Great spotted kiwi). Its description in RNAcentral is "lncRNA (ENSAHAG00000004035.1)". Lineage: Eukaryota; Metazoa; Chordata; Aves; Apterygiformes; Apterygidae. The record is from RNAcentral.
AUGGCUCUCUGGCAGAAGCAGAGCGCAGGCAGCACCGGAACAGGGGCGAAACCACUGCAUGCCCCGGGGCUGCCGUGCCUCUGCACAGAUGGCCUCAGCCCCCUCCACGGCCUCAGCCACCAGCCAGGCGCCGCAGCCGCCACCACCGGCCCGCCGCAGCCGCCAGCCUCCCCGCCGGGCCCGGGUAGGCCGGGACUCAGGGCGCUCGCCUUCCUUGCCCCAUUCCUGCUGAGCAGCCGCGGCCCAGCCACCUCCUGCCCCGCAGCUCCUGCUGCCCUCGCCCCCAGCCUGCACCACCCCGCCGGGGCUGUCCGUGGCCCCGCGCCUCAUGGCCCGGCCCCAGGCACACAUGGCUCCCCAUGCCCCCCUGCUGCCCCAGCAGCGGCUGCAGCACCCUCGCCCCAGCGCACCAGAGCCCUGCCACAGACAAGGCCCCGUGGCACAGCCCUGUGCCGGUUCCCCGCACGCCUGGCCUCACCACGCCGCGCCACGCUGUGGGCAGAGCUGCCCCGACACCGCCGCUGCAUGCCCCGGCCGCCGGGCACUGCUCGGGCUCAACAGUUGGCCCGGCCGCCCCACAGGCAGUACGAAAACCCCGCUGCCCUUCUCCCUGCUCACCCCCACAGCAGGAUAGGGCCCGGCCUUGGCCCUUGGUGUGCCCUGGCACUCUGGGGGCAACCCUGUAUCUGCAUCCUCCCUCUCCCAAUUCCCUUUGCUACGGGAUGCAGCUGCCUCCUUGAAUUUAUCUUUAAAAGAAGAAUUCAGCCUUUUCCCUCCUCCUCUGUUGUCGCUUAUUCUGCAGAGCUAACAUCUCCUGCAUUUGGGGGGGAGCAGCCCGCAACAGCACCAUCCCUCGCCUCGCCUCCCGUUGCACAGCCCAGCUCCUGGCCGGCAGACAAAGCACACAGAGACAGCAGGGUCUGCAAAGGCAGGCGGGAGGCAGCCCGGGGCGCAGAGCUGUGCGGGUCCUGGGAAGGGUCAGUCUGGGAGAGAAAGGCGCCUCCUCACGCAGGACCCGCAGCAGAGGAGCGGCAGCGAUACGGGCCGAAGGAGGCACCACAGGCCCGGGGCGAAGGGAAGGCCGGGGGUGCCGCAGCGCAGCCUCGCCGGGUGAAACAGCUGGGGAAGGCGAGACAGGACAUGGAGUUAGGCGCUGUCAGGGACAUGGGGGCAGAAGGGAGGGGAGCAGGGAGGCCCCAAGCAAGGCCCGCCACAGCCCCAGGCUGA